UACAUAAAUGUUUAAAUUUCAAUAUUUUCUUAAUAAUUACAUACAUGGAAUUUUUAAGGUUAAAAAGUUAAUAUAUUUUACCUUUUGUAUAAUGGUUAUACUAAAAAUUUAUUUUAUUAUAGUUCCCGAAGCAAGAAGAGCUAUUUACUAACUUUUGUUAGAGAGUGUAAAGUUAUGUUGAAAUAUGGCUUGGAGAUUAGUAAAUAGGGGUGAAAAACUUUCAAUUUUUGGGAUACCUGGUAGCUUCAGAAAAGCAUGUAGUGCUGGAAAAUUAAAUGUAAAGUGAUGAGGUUUUACAUAAUUAGAAUUUUAGUUAAAUAUUUAGGUUUUUAUAGUUAAUCCUAUUGAAAUUUUAAAUUUAAAAUAUUAUUUUCUUAUUUUAUCUAAAUAAAUAUGGAGCUUUUUUAUAUAAUUAUUUUUAAAAGUAAUAAUGUGUAAAUGAGUAGUAAAUUAAUAUAGGCAUUUUGUAAUGUAAGUAGAGUGAAAACAGUUAUAAUAUUUUUAACCAUAGUUAGAAGGAAUUCGGCAAAAAUAACCUUCGACUGUUUAUCAAAAACAUAGCCUUAAGAUAAUUAUUUAAGGUUAAACCUGCCCAGUGUGAGUUGGUAUAUAAACGGCCGCGGUACCUUGACCGUGCUAAGGUAGCGCAAUCAAUUGGUUUUUAAAUGGAGCCAGGUAUGAAUGGAGUUACGGGGUUUUUCUGUCUCCUAGCUAUUAUAUUGAAAUUACUAUAUAGGUGAAAAAGCCUAUAACGAGAAAAAGGACGAGAAGACCCUUAGAGUUUUUCUAAAUUUAAUGAACAUUAGGUUCUUGAAGCAGUUUGGUUGGGGCAACACGGGAGCAUAAUUAAUCUCCUUAUUAAUAUAAAUCGAUUAUUUUAGAAUUGAGUAAACUACCUUAGGGAUAACAGCAUAAUUUUAUAAAUAAGUUUGUGACCUCGAUGUUGGACUGGGAAACUAGAAGGUUAGCCGCCUUUUAGGUAAGUUCUGUUCGAACUAUAAUUCCCACAUGAUCUGAGUUCAGACCGGCGUAAGCCAGGUCAGAUUCUAUCUUUUUAUUUUAAGGGUUUAGUACGAAAGGACCAGCUCUUAGUAUUUUAUAUAUAAAAG
Molecule: ribosomal RNA, 1109 nt
Filed under: Tyrannodoris europaea
Lineage: Eukaryota; Metazoa; Mollusca; Gastropoda; Nudibranchia; Polyceridae
Description: Roboastra europaea large subunit ribosomal RNA
Rfam family: Bacterial large subunit ribosomal RNA
Source: RNAcentral